Molecule: long non-coding RNA, 4711 nt
Filed under: Aotus nancymaae (Ma's night monkey)
Lineage: Eukaryota; Metazoa; Chordata; Mammalia; Primates; Aotidae
Description: lncRNA (ENSANAG00000039025.1)
Source: RNAcentral
GUAGCUCUGUGGAUCCUUUUCAGAUGACGUCGUUUGAUAUCGUAUUCGGCACACGCUUAGCCGUCGCCCCACAAGUGCCCCAAGGGAUGGUUCGUCCGCUGCCAGAUCGAACAGUCCUUGCUAGUCUGUAGGCAGUUCCUCGGCAGCAAGUUGUGGACUAAGAACCCAGCAAGUUGUGGACUAAGAAAUCACCUACGUUAAAGCUUCUAACUUUAGCCAUAAUUCGGGGAGCUGAAGUCCAGGCCCUGCGCUCCUGCCGCUGACUGCCUGACGUGCCGCUCGCUGCCCAGCUGGCUCCGGGGUCCACGCAGUCCUGGUGGGGGAUUCCGAGUCCACGGCGACCGCUGGUCCAUGUGCUGGUGGCGGUUGCAGCUGCGGCCCCCUUGGGCUGACGUGGCUUCCCAGAGCCGUGCCCGGCCAUGUCCAAGGGCCCCGUCGACUGCGCUGCUCUGGCCCGCUGCUCCUGAAUUGCGGGCACAGAAUCUGGGGCUGGGCACUCUGCAGGCUCUGGCAGCUCUGGUGGCUCUGGGUGUGGCUCUGGCGACGGCGGCUCUGGCGGCUCUGGCAGUGGCUCUGGCAGCUCUGGCGACAGCGGCUUUGGCGAUGGCGAUGGCUCUGGCAGCUCUGGCAGUGGCUCUGGCGGCUCUGGCUUUGGCGGCUCUGGUGGCGGCUCUGUCGGCAGCUCUGGCUCUGGCGGCGGCUCUGGCAGCUUUGACGGUGGCUCUGGCGGCGGCAGCUCUGGCAUCUUUGACGGUGGCUCAAAUCAAUAAUAUUGAUUAUUUUGUUUCAAAUUCCAUUCAGGCUCCACGUGACAAGAAAACAUCUGUUUCAGUUAUAGCCAGAGAAGUAAAGGAUGGAGACCAAUCUGGGACAGUGUCUUCUCAGAAAGAACGGGCCUCAAAGGUCACACAUGACAAGAAAGAUCCUGUUUCAAAUACAGCCACAGGAAAAAAGGAUGGAUCAAAAUCUGGGAUAGGUAAUUUUGCAAUACACAUUUAAUGUGAUGUUCACUCAGGAUAAAAGACAACUUCCCUUCUCAAGUAAAUCAGCAGAGGGCUCAUUGAAAGUGUACAUUGUGAUUCAGGAAGCCUGAGAUUCUGCAUUUGUAAUAAGUUAUUUAGCACCAGUGAUGCUGCUGGUCCUUGUCCAUGAUCUGAGUAGUAUGAUUAUAAACUUUUCUACAUUGAAAUUAAAUAGAAGAACCUCUGAAGAGCAAUUCAAGACAUAGCAAGCUCAAGGGACAGUGUAAUUUUGCUUUAAUUCUACAGCAUGUUUUCUUCAGGAAGGAAAGGAAAAAGAGAUGUAGUAAUAGGGAUGAUAGACACUAGGUUGUUUUGCUGAAACUGGAGGGAAGAAGUGAUUGUAAUAACCCAUAAACACUGUAGAAUGAGAGAACUAAUGAGACCAUUGAUGCAAAAAUUAUUUUCUCCAAGGAAGAGGGAUUGUGAGGCAGCAAGGAGGGAAAAGAAGAGGUUAUGUAUGUAAUUUAGGGGUUUCUGCUGAGGAAACAUGAGUGAACUCACUUUGGAUUUAUUUAGAAUAUUUGCGUAAAAGAAGAUUUGAUUUUGGCUGCUCCAGAAACUACUGGAAACAGGAAAGAGUGCUAGAACUGGGAUAAACCACGGUGACUCAUUACUCUUCUUUGUUGCUAUUAGGCAUCAGAGAUAGAUGUUUUGUUGAUUUUAAUUAUUAAAAAGAAGAUAAGCUAGAAUAUGAAUACAUUGGCUCCAUUGGUAAAGGAGCUAACUCUUGGAUAAAAUAGGUAUUUAAUGAAAUUUCUUUAGAGGAUAACAUGAUACCUCUAAGAAGACUAUUUUUAGAAACAAAAAUUAUGUUGAAUUCAUUUACUGACUCCAAAAAUGGUUAUUUUCAAUGAAUAUUGGAGUGAUAUCUGAAUGUAAAAGCUUAUUAAUAUAAGUCGCUGAUUAAGAUCAGGAUACAGGGAUGGGUCCUUCAGCCUCUGUGCUCCCAGUCAUCCUCAUCCAGCUGUCAGAUCCCCACAAUUUCCACCUUGUCUUCCUAGAUGCUCCACAUUUUAUUACAGUAGCCAAUCACAGCAUGCUCCAUCGUCCUCAGGUCCUGGAUCAUGAACGCAUUAAAAGCCAUCACUCCGAAUAUCCACACUACAAACUUUGUGUAAUAAACACAAUGAGGAACGUGGGGAGAAGGAUUUUCCUGAUUGUGCCAGGCCCCACCAGCAUGCUCAGUGGUCUCGCUGUCCCUGCGCACACUUUCCCAGGCCUGGUCCCACUUCUUUUUUUUUUUUUUUUUUUUUUUUUAAAGAGAAAGAGAGAGAGAAUAGGAAGGAGGAAAAAGGAGAGAAGAGAGAGAGAGAAUGGGGAGGAGGAGAAGGAAAGAAAGAGGGAGAGAGAAUGGGAGUAUUGCUUUCUUGCCCAGGCUAGAAUGCAAUUUAGUAAUGGGUAUUGAAAACCUCUUUUAUACUGAUAAUUAUACUUAAUGAUGUAGUCAGGAAGGAAUAAGGGAAGAUUGAGAACACAACAGGCCAACCAAUAUUUCAUUUAAACCUAUGAAAUGCUAUGCGAUUACUGAGGAGUGAUUUACUUCCAAUUAUGUAGUCACCUUUGGAAUAGGUGUGAGGUGGUAAUGUAUGUUUUGUGUAUUUGAAGUGGAGAGUUCUAUAAAUGUUUAUUAAGUUUACUUGUUCCGGGUCUGAGUUCAAGUUCUGAAUAUCCUUGUUAAUUUUCUAUCUCGUUGAUCUAUAGAAUCGUUAGCUCUUCUUGUUGCAUUGAUCUUUUUGCCAUUAUGUAAUGUCAUUCCUCGCCUCUUUUGAUCUUUGUUGCUUUAAAGUCUACUUUAUCAGAGGCGAGAAUUGCAUCUCCUGCUUUUUGUUUAUUAGUUUAUUUUUACUCUCUGUUUGAUUGGUAAAUCUUCCUCCUUCUCUCUGAGUCUUUAUGUAUUGUUGCAUGUAAGAUGGGCCCGGAUGCAGCAUACCGAUGGGUUUUGGGAAAAAGUCUUAAGGUGGCACAGUGAUUUCAUAGCCAAACUACAAAGUACCUUCCCACGACCUCUUCAGACCCAAGUGGGGACAGUUUAGAAACCCAUAAAUCCCAUCUCUCAGUGACUGGCAAGAUUAACUUCUUACAAACUACCACUACAAAGAGUUAGAUUUCAUAUACACACACCCAAAAAGUGGGGUGUCCUCUAUGGAUGACCAAUACGAUUCCCCUGCUUCUAAGAAUUGUCAUCUGGACUUCUGGAAGUAACUGUGCUCUAAUUGUGUAAAUAAAGGAAAAGAAGAUGAAAUAACACUAUAAAGUUGAAUGUAUGUUAGGGUACCAAAGAAACAAGGGAACAUAAGUGCACUUAAACACUGGCCUAUUUUUCAGUAUGAGUUUUGUCAGACACUGCCUGUGCUGAUCAACGUUACACAUCAUAACUUUAAAUUUUAACAGCUGCUUGAUCUGAAAAAUAAAAAUAAUCAAACUUUAUUUUGUUUUUGAUUGUUAGCAGCAGGGCAGAGAUAGUUUCAGAUAGGAACAAUUUUAAGAGAGCUCUGUAACUUUACGAAAGCUAAGAUUUUAUGCAAAUUUUCAUUUUGAAAUCCGCCUUUAGGUGAACAUCGUGGAUAAGAUGUUUCUGUUAGCUACAAUAACCCUCAAUCAGAAUGCCUCAGGAAGGAGCUGUUUUACUAAAUUAAAUUUUCAUGUUGGUUAAGGAUUAACCAGAAAUUCCUUUCAGCUGGAACAUAAGUUGAAAUUCAAAAAUAUGUACACAUAUUGUAGGCAGAUAGCUCACCUUGGAAAGCCCAGUGCAGUAAAUGAAAUGAGUCCCUUUUUGAUGUUGGGUGCCUCAUGUCUCCAAGUCAUCUUUCUGAACGUGCAUCCUCAUUUUAUAGUGCUAAGUGUGUAGAAUAUUGGGUAAAGAAUCUGCACUAAGAGCCAUGUGUUCAAAUUACUUUUUAAAAAGUUAGUAAAAUUUACUUUUUCCUGCAUUUGCUACUUUUUUCCAAUAGUGAAGUGCUGAGUAGAUUACCAUUGAAAGAGGGCUCCUGUUACUUACAGCCUAGUCAUUCAGUGUUUACAUGCAUGUUUUAAAAGGGAAGACUUCUAGCCGGGCAUGGUGGCUCACGCCUGUAAUCCCAACAUUUUAGAAGGCCAAGAUGAGUGGAUCACUUGAGGUCAGGGGUCUGAGACCAGUCUGGCCAACAUGGUGAAACCCCAUCUCUGCUAAAAAUAUAAAAAUUAGCUGGGCAUGUUGGCACAUGCAUGUAAUCCCAGCUACCAGGGAGGCUGAGGCAAGAGAGUCACUUGAACCCAGGAGGCAGCAGAGGUUGCAGUGAGCCAAGAUCCUGUCACUGCAUUCCAGCCUGGGCGACAGAGUGAGACUUUGUCUCAAAAAUAAAACUAAAAGGAAAGACUUCUAAAGUAUAAAGCAAUUCUCAACUAGAGUACUGGUAAGUGGGACAUUGCUUUUUUAAAUCACAGUCUUCACUAGAGACCAAAUAAGUUAAUAGGAAGGUAUGUUUUAGAGACACUGUAACAUAAUCUCUUUUUUAGUCUACAGUUCACUAGGAGGCCUUUGGAUGUGGGCCAAGCGCCCCUUCCAGGCUGAUGGCUGCGGGGUGGAUGGUCUGCCAGAGCCGCCGCCGCCGCCACCGCUUCCGCCACCGCCAGAGCCGCCAGAGCCGCUGCCAGAGCCGCUAGAGCCGCCGCCACCGCCAGAGCCUCCCAGAGCGCCGCCAUAGCCGCCA